AAAAUAAACAGAAUUGUGACGUCAUAAAGAAGAUAGAUUAUAUAGUUAGU
RNAcentral lists this non-coding RNA (50 nucleotides) under Trypanosoma brucei brucei. Lineage: Eukaryota; Euglenozoa; Kinetoplastea; Trypanosomatida; Trypanosomatidae. The record is from RNAcentral.